AAAAAAAAAAAAAAAAAAUGAACAAAACCACCCCACCUGUCCAUUAGCACCUACUGAGGGCAAGGACUUUGUUGGGGACUAGUGAUCCAGCUCGCACAAGAUACCACCCUCAUGGGGUCUGUAGUCAAGUGAGGGGAACCUGACACCCCUUCUCCCCCAAUAAGCCCCCCAAAAUAUGCCAACAAGAAAACCUUCUUGCCCUUCUCUUUACCAGUUGUGUGUAUCUUGAGCUGAUUUACUAUAAAGCGGGGUUGUUACAGUGCCUUUAUCCAGGCAUAGAAGUCAAAUGAAAUAGUGUCAAGCUCACAGUUUGGCACGGAAUAAGCACUUGGGAAUAAGCGUUGGCUAUUUCAUGUUGCCACUGUCAUUUCAUUUCACUUUGUUAUAUUUUGGUUUUGGCCCACAGUCAUGGCAUGUGGAAGCUCCCAGACCGGGGAUCAAACCUGCACCACAGCAGCGACCCAAGCCAUUGCAGUGACAACACCAGAUCCUUAACCUGACCUGGCACCAGGGAACUCUGCCACUGUCAUUUUAGAGCCCAGGUUUACAUGGCCCUGAUCACAGGCUCUCAUCUAGAUCACUUCUCCGAAAGUGGCCCAUCUGCCCCACAACUGGGGUGCAGACACUCGGUACAGCCUCUUCGCAGGGGUUUCACCUUAGGUGCUGUUAACACUUAGGGCUGGAUAAUUCUUGGUGGCUGACAGCUGUCCCGGGAACUGCAGGGUGAUUAGCAGCAUCCUCGGCCUUAAGCCCCAGAUGCCAGGGGCAUCCCACCUUGUGACAACCCCGAUGUCUCCAGACAUUACCACAUGUCAGCUGGGAGGCAACCUUACCCCUGGUUGGGAACCACUGGCUUAAAGGGAGAUGUUUUUCCCACCCUCUCAGCCCAGAGAGGCUGCUCCCCAGUCAUCCUGCGGUUCCCCGUCUGGGGAGAUUACAUUGUCCACUCUCAUGCAAUGACGCGUCCCUUCUCAGACGCCACUUCCCGGGGGCUGGAGGAAACGCCCAGCCACCUUUAUCACUGCCAAGGAACAUGGGGGCCCACAAGAGGACACAGGGUGCAGUCUGUUCGGCCCAGGGCGCCGUUGCUUUGGGAAAACUCUCCGGAAGCUCCGUCUGAAACCUCUGCCUCAAAACCACGUCGUCCAGGAGGGCAUUCCGGAGGCUCAUUUUUAACAGGCAGGAGAAAGCAGCACAACGGAAGGCACACUCCGUACCCAAGGCAUUGAACGUACGGAUCAAACAAUAAAAUGUGCUUAUUCUCCCAG
Long non-coding RNA from Sus scrofa (pig), 1268 nucleotides. RefSeq lists it as uncharacterized. Lineage: Eukaryota; Metazoa; Chordata; Mammalia; Artiodactyla; Suidae. The record is from RefSeq and is a predicted model, not a curated record.